AGUGAACGCUGGCGGUAGGCCUAACACAUGCAAGUCGAACGGCAGCACAGUAAGAGCUUGCUCUUACGGGUGGCGAGUGGCGGACGGGUGAGGAAUACAUAGGAAUCUACUUUUUCGUGGGGGAUAACGUGGGGAAACUUCCGCUAAUACCGCAUACGACCUACGGGUGAAUGCAGGGGAUCUUGGGACCUUUCCCGAUUGUAUGAGCCGAAGCCGGAUUAGCUAGUUGGCGGGGUAACGGCCCACCAAGGCGACGAUCCGUAGCUGAUCUGAGAGGAUGAUCAGCCACACUGGAACUGAGACACGGUCCAGACUCCUACGGGAGGCAGCAGUAGGGAAUAUUGGGCAAUGGGCGCAAGCCUGAUCCAGCCAUACCGCGUGGGUGAAGAAGGCCUUCGGGUUGUAAAGCCCUUUUGUUGGGAAAGAAAAGCAGCAUAUUAAUACCCCGCUGUUCUGACGGUACCCAAAGAAUAAGCACCGGCUAACUUCGUG
This 492-nucleotide ribosomal RNA is filed under the name uncultured bacterium. RNAcentral's name for it is "partial 16S ribosomal RNA". It matches the Rfam family "Bacterial small subunit ribosomal RNA", at positions 29 to 507 of the family's 1533-position model. The record is from RNAcentral.